CAUGUAGGCGGUUUUUAAGUCUGGAGUGAAAAUGCGGGGCUCAACCCCGUAUGGCUCUGGAUACUGGAAGACUUGAGUGCAGGAGAGGAAAGGGGAAUUCCCAGUGUAGCGGUGAAAUGCGUAGAUAUUGGGAGGAACACCAGUGGCGAAGGCGCCUUUCUGGACUGUGUCUGACGCUGAGAUGCGAAAGCCAGGGUAGCGAACG
Molecule: ribosomal RNA, 205 nt
Filed under: uncultured bacterium
Lineage: Bacteria
Description: partial 16S ribosomal RNA
Rfam family: Bacterial small subunit ribosomal RNA
Source: RNAcentral